This 429-nucleotide ribosomal RNA is filed under the name Actinomycetes bacterium. RNAcentral's name for it is "Actinobacteria bacterium partial 16S ribosomal RNA". It matches the Rfam family "Bacterial small subunit ribosomal RNA", at positions 355 to 776 of the family's 1533-position model. The record is from RNAcentral. Lineage: Bacteria; Bacillati; Actinomycetota; Actinomycetes.
UAGGGAAUCUUCCGCAAUGGGCGAAAGCCUGACGGAGCAACGCCGCGUGAGUGAUGAAGGUCUUCGGAUCGUAAAACUCUGUUAUUAGGGAAGAACAAAUGUGUAAGUAACUAUGCACGUCUUGACGGUACCUAAUCAGAAAGCCACGGCUAACUACGUGCCAGCAGUCGCGGUAAUACGUAGGUGGCAAGCGUUAUCCGGAAUUAUUGGGCGUAAAGCGCGCGUAGGCGGUUUUUUAAGCCUGAUGUGAAAGCCCACGGCUCAACCGUGGAGGGUCAUUGGAAACUGGAAGACUUGAGUGCAGGAGAGGAAAGUGGAAGUCCAUGUGGAACGGUGAAAUGCGCAGAGAUAUGGAGGAACACCAGUGGCGAAGGCGACUUUCUGGUCUGUAACUGACGCUGAUGUGCGAAAGCGUGGGGAUCAAACAGG